AACGAACGCUGGCGGCAUGCCUAACACAUGCAAGUCGAACGAAGCCUUCGGGCUUAGUGGCGCACGGGGUGCGUAACACGUGGGAAUCUGCCCUUCGGUUCGGAAUAACAGUUAGAAAUGACUGCUAAUACCGGAUGAUGACGUAAGUCCAAAGAUUUAUCGCCGAAGGAUGAGCCCGCGUAGGAUUAGGUAGUUGGUAGGGUAAUGGCCUACCAAGCCGACGAUCCUUAGCUGGUCUGAGAGGAUGAUCAGCCACACUGGGACUGAGACACGGCCCAGACUCCUACGGGAGGCAGCAGUGGGGAAUAUUGGACAAUGGGCGAAAGUCUGAUCCAGCAAUGCCGCGUGAGUGAUGAAGGCCUUAGGGUUGUAAAGCUCUUUUACCAGGGAUGAUAAUGACAGUACCUGGAGAAUAAGCUCCGGCUAACUCCGUG
This 434-nucleotide ribosomal RNA is filed under the name uncultured bacterium. Its description in RNAcentral is "bacterial SSU rRNA". It matches the Rfam family "Bacterial small subunit ribosomal RNA", at positions 29 to 507 of the family's 1533-position model. The record is from RNAcentral.